CCUACGGGAGGCUGCAGUAGGGAAUCUUCCACAAUGGGCGAAAGCCUGAUGGAGCAACGCCGCGUGGGUGAGGAAGGUCUUCGGAUCGUAAAACCCUGUUGUUAGAGAAGAAAGUGCGUGAGAGUAACUGUUCACGUUUCGACGGUAUCUAACCAGAAAGCCACGGCUAACUACGUGCCAGCAGCCGCGGUAAUACGUAGGUGGCAAGCGUUAUCCGGAUUUAUUGGGCGUAAAGGGAACGCAGGCGGUCUUUUAAGUCUGAUGUGAAAGCCUUCGGCUUAACCGGAGUAGUGCAUUGGAAACUGGGAGACGUGAGUGCAGAAGAGGAGAGUGGAACUCCAUGUGUAGCGGUGAAAUGCGUAGAUAUAUGGAAGAACACCAGUGGCUAAAGCGGCUCUCUGGUCUGUAACUGACGCUGAGGUUCGAAAGCGUGGGUAGCAAACAGGAUUAGAUACCCCUGUAGUC
This 465-nucleotide ribosomal RNA is filed under the name uncultured bacterium. RNAcentral's name for it is "partial 16S ribosomal RNA". It matches the Rfam family "Bacterial small subunit ribosomal RNA", at positions 338 to 795 of the family's 1533-position model. The record is from RNAcentral.